AACCAAACCAUUGUUAUUGUCGCUAGUGACCUUUGGGUGUGGCACAAUCAGACGAGGUUUCCGUCUAAUAAUCCGAUAUGUGGUUUUGACGGUGAACAUUGCCCGGAAAAUUCAGUAAACUGGGGACCGAUGUUGGCCGGUGUUGCACUGACCGUUAUAAUUAUAGUUGCGGUGUGCGCCGGGUGGUUGUAUCGACGAAAAGCAAACCGAAUGACUGUGUUGCACAUGUUUCUCAACGCCGCAUCGCUAACCUACGAAUCAACAAACAGUACGGUUGAGGGAAAGCAAACUGUAUCAUAUAGCGACGGAAGCCUUCGCCUCGAACACCAGCC
Long non-coding RNA from Paramacrobiotus metropolitanus, 332 nucleotides. RefSeq lists it as uncharacterized. NCBI's taxonomy places the organism in Eukaryota, Metazoa, Tardigrada, Eutardigrada, Parachela, Macrobiotidae. The record is from RefSeq and is a predicted model, not a curated record. The transcript is spliced from 3 exons.